This 535-nucleotide ribosomal RNA is filed under the name uncultured bacterium. RNAcentral's name for it is "partial 16S ribosomal RNA". It matches the Rfam family "Bacterial small subunit ribosomal RNA", at positions 38 to 536 of the family's 1533-position model. The record is from RNAcentral.
AUGAACGCUGGCGGCGUGCCUAAUACAUGCAAGUCGAGCGAACAGACGAGGAGCUUGCUCCUCUGACGUUAGCGGCGGACGGGUGAGUAACACGUGGAUAACCUACCUAUAAGACUGGGAUAACUUCGGGAAACCGGAGCUAAUACCGGAUAAUAUAUUGAACCGCAUGGUUCAAUAGUGAAAGACGGUUUUGCUGUCACUUAUAGAUGGAUCCGCGCCGCAUUAGCUAGUUGGUAAGGUAACGGCUUACCAAGGCAACGAUGCGUAGCCGACCUGAGAGGGCGGCCGACCACAAAGGGUGGACGCGCACGCACAGGAGCAAGGGCGCGGGCGAGGAAGGGGAGCGUCCGCGAGGGGAGAGAGAGGGCGGGAGCAACGUGGGUGUGGUGAGGCAGGUCGGGAUGUCAUACCACAUUGUUAAGAGAGAAGAACAAAUGUGUAAGUAUCUACGCACGUAUUGACGGAACAAAAUAAAAAAGCCACGGCGAACUACGGGCCAGCAGCGCGGGAAUGAUCGAGUAGCACCCGCCUGAUC